AGAUAUCAUCACUUUAUUAAAAUAAGAAUGUCAUUAAAAUAUAGAAAAAGACAAAUUUCACAUUUUAUGAAUUCAUUUUCAAAAUGAAUACAUCUUGAAAAUACAAAAGAUUUCAAAAUUCAUUACAUGUGUAUUCACCUCAUUUUCAACCAACAAACUACAUAGUGAUAUCCGUUUAAAAGGUAAUAAAAAUUGUCAAAUCAAGAAAAACUAGCAAAAUCAUUUUUUCUAUUUAAGACAUAUGCUAUUCAUUCACAAUUUUUGAUAACAAUACGAGACUCUCAUCUCUGGCUUUCUUUAUUUUCUUAAUAAAUUUUAUCACUAGUCUAACAUCUAACUUGCGUGUCCAAAUAAUUAUUACAUUGACGUCUCGGAUCAAAAAGAUGGAAAGAGACAUGGAGAAUCCAAAGAUAAGUGAAUACACUUGAUGGAAGGCUGAGCUCCAUUCACUGUGUAUUUAAUUCAUUCAUCUAAAAUUCAUGAAAUUGUCUUUACUUAAUCUAAUCAGUCAAUGACUUUUUUUGUAAAAGAGAAAAUCCAAUUGUGAAGAAGAAAAAGGGCAAGAGAGAUUUUACGAUGCGAUGUGAUGUGAUGUGAUGUGUUAAAAGAGAUAAGUCACAGCAGCAAAAAGGAAACCAGAAGCAUGACAAGUUAAUUAUCAUUUGGCCCUUGUUAAUUUCUUUUCAUCAUUGUCCAUUUCGCCUUGUUACUUUCACUUUGACUCAUCAACUCAAUCAUUGUUUCGAAGUAAAAUUAAUAGCCACCAGUAUAUGCUCUCGUACUAAUCUUGAGCACAUCAUGUUACAUGGAUCCACUAAUCACCGAACAUUAUUUGCAUUAAUCCGACGUCUUUCUCUUCUUAUUUUAUUAGUUAAUAAUAAUAAUAAUAAUUACAAGUUCUUUUGAUUCCUACAAUAUCUAAACCAAUGCCCCAUUGGCUUAGUGAAAGCAUUCUUGCACUCAUAGGUCAUGUUUGGUUUAAAGAAAGGGAAGGAGAGGAAAAGAGUGGAAUGGAUGGGAAGAGAGAAGAAAAGAAUGAAGGAGAAUAGUGAAAUUAAAUUUCAUUAUUUGGUUAAACAAAAAAUCUGAUUGGGAAAUAAAUUACAAAUUUAUCAUUGGCCUUAAUUACCUAUAUUAGUAAUGAAAUAUAAUUUAAUAUUAAUACCAAACUUUUUUAAUGUCAAAAAGUCCUAAAACAAUUCAAGAUUUACAUUUAAUAUAAAAUAUAAAAUAAUUUAAUAUACUAAACUAUUUAAUAUAAUUUAAUAUAAAUAAAAGGCGGUCAACAGCUGUGGUCAACAGAAGUCAAUGGCGGUCAACGGUGGUCGGUGACUUUCCGGAGAAAUUCCAUCAGCUUCUAGCGAUGGUCUGAGGGUCCGGCGAAUUUCUAGCGAAGGCCUGACAGGUUUCUGGCGACGAUCCAGUGAUGAUUCGGCGGGGUUCUGGCGACAGUUAAUUUAUAUUUCUAUA
RNAcentral lists this long non-coding RNA (1470 nucleotides) under Citrus x clementina. RNAcentral describes it as "Citrus clementina (C. clementina) long non-coding RNA (CCLE_LNC003933)". The record is from RNAcentral. Lineage: Eukaryota; Viridiplantae; Streptophyta; Magnoliopsida; Sapindales; Rutaceae.